CAUCAUAUGGCUGCAUGGGUCUGUCCAACAAUUUUUGUGUUGGGUUUGGAUGUCCUCUGCUGGAGUAUGAAUGUCCUUUUCUUUGUAUGUUGGAGAGGACAGAUUACUGGGGAAGCUCACUCCUCUGUGAUGCUGACAUCACUCCUGUAUUCGUCUUGUUUUGUAGUGAAUAGUGUGUUUGGUUUCCUCUAGGAAGUCUAUCAGAACAUGGCUCAAAGUCAGUGACCCUAAAUCAAGGAUAAUAAAUGACUCUCUGAGACUAGCUAGUAAAUACUUUUGAAGUUGGUUGCAGUGAUAUUUACCUGCAUCGGUUGAUAGAAUUGCCGCUGACACAACGAAGGCACUUCCUAAAUGUGGUUGGUCUAACAUGCUUAAAAUCAUAAUAUCCCCAGUAAAUUCAGAGAAAGAAAGAAAAACGAAGGGAUAUUAGAAGUUAUUUUGUUUUGAUAUUAUAUUUCAGUAGAUUUAUCCUGUGUUUCCCCCUCCCUGCCAAAUCUCUCAGAUGAGUCAAACCUCAUGCCCUGUUCUUUUGCAUGACCUCCCAUAGAAAGAUGAAAGGAUUUCUAUAAUUUGUAAUUGUCUCUUCUUUCUUUGGAGUAUAAUAUCAUAUUCUAAAUCAGAUAGUAUAUUUUAUAAAUAAACCUUGUGUCAUAUUUUUAUUUAUUGGUUUCCUAUGGUCAAGUUUCUUAAUGAUAUACAGCAAAUGUUAUUACUUAUUUUUUCUCCUUGAGGAAUAUACAUUCUUUUAUAUAUCCCAUGUAAUAAUUUGUUACAAUGAAAACUAAUUUUGUAACUAAGGAAUCUUACAAAGAAGCCUGGAGAUUAGAUGCAUAAGCUGUCUGUGUAGAAUGAUGUACACAGUCCAGAAAGGCAAUAUUUCAAAGGUCAUAUCAAUGGCUUAAUUCAGUGAGCAUUUAUUGAUACUAAUUCCAGACUCUGUGCUAAAUGUCAUGAAUACAAGAAAGAACGGCAUGUUCCUUAGUCUUUACAAGCUUUCAGUCUGGUGAGAACAAGUAUAUGUAUAAAGAAAAAAAUAAAAUUCCUG
This 1045-nucleotide long non-coding RNA is filed under the name Equus caballus (horse). Its description in RNAcentral is "lncRNA (ENSECAG00000044081.1)". The record is from RNAcentral. Lineage: Eukaryota; Metazoa; Chordata; Mammalia; Perissodactyla; Equidae.